This 254-nucleotide ribosomal RNA is filed under the name uncultured bacterium. RNAcentral describes it as "partial 16S ribosomal RNA". It matches the Rfam family "Bacterial small subunit ribosomal RNA", at positions 524 to 776 of the family's 1533-position model. The record is from RNAcentral.
UACAGAGGUGGCAAGCGUUGUUCGGAAUUACUGGGCGUAAAGGGCGCGUAGGCGGUUCGAUAAGUCCCGUGUGAAAUCCCUCGGCUCAACUGAGGAACUGCACGGGAAACUGUCGGGCUAGAGUCCGGAAGAGGACGAGUGGAAUUCCCGGUGUAGCGGUGAAAUGCGCAGAUAUCGGGAGGAACACCAAUGGCGAAGGCAGCUCGCUGGGACGGUACUGACGCUGAGACGCGAAAGCGUGGGGAGCAAACAGG